Molecule: ribosomal RNA, 448 nt
Filed under: uncultured bacterium
Lineage: Bacteria
Description: bacterial SSU rRNA
Rfam family: Bacterial small subunit ribosomal RNA
Source: RNAcentral
UUCCAGACUCCUACGGGAGGCAGCAGUGGGGGAUAUUGCACAAUGGGGGAAACCCUGAUGCAGCGACGCCGCGUGGGUGAAGAAGCGCCUCGGCGCGUAAAGCCCUGUCAGCAGGGAAGAAAAUGACGGUACCUGAAGAAGAAGCCCCGGCUAACUACGUGCCAGCAGCCGCGGUAAUACGUAGGGGGCAAGCGUUAUCCGGAUUUACUGGGUGUAAAGGGGGCGCAGACGGCGAUGCAAGCCAGGAGUGAAAGCCCGGGGCCCAACCCCCGGACUGCUUUGGAAACUGUAUAGCUGGAGUGCAGGAGAGGUAAGUGGAAUUCCUAGUGUAGCGGUGAAAUGCGUAGAUAUUAGGAGGAACACCAGUGGCGAAGGCGGCUUACUGGACUGUAACUGACGUUGAGGCUCGAAAGCGUGGGGAGCAAACAGGAUUAGAUACCCGUGUAAC